Molecule: ribosomal RNA, 673 nt
Filed under: Zygaena manlia
Lineage: Eukaryota; Metazoa; Arthropoda; Insecta; Lepidoptera; Zygaenidae
Description: partial 16S ribosomal RNA
Rfam family: Bacterial large subunit ribosomal RNA (bases 392-550)
Source: RNAcentral
GUCUUUUUGAAAUAAUAAUUUAAAGUCUAAUCUGCCCACUGAUAGUUAUAUUAAAGGGCUGCAGUAUUUUGACUGUACAAAGGUAGCAUAAUCAUUAGUCUUUUAAUUGGUGACUUGUAUGAAUGAUUGGAUGAAAUAUAAGCUGUUUCUUAUUUAUUUAUAGAAUUUAAUUUUUUCAUUAAAAAGUGAAAAUAAAUUUAAAAGACGAGAAGACCCCAUAGAGUUUUAUAUAUGAAAUAAUUUAAUAAUUAUGUUUAAGAGAAUUAAUUAAAAUUAUUUAUUAUAUUUUAUUGGGGUGAUAAAAAAAUUAAAAAAACUUUUUUAUAAUUUUUCCAUAAAUAAGUGAAUAAAUGAUCCAUUAUUAUUGAUUAAAAGAAAAAAUUACCUUGGGGAUAACAGCGUAAUUUUUUCUUUUAGUUCAAAUAGGAGAAAGAGUUUGCGACCUCGAUGUUGGAUUAAGAUAAAAUUUAAAUGCAAAAGUUUAAAAUUUUGAUCUGUUCGAUCAUUAAAAUCUUACAUGAUCUGAGUUCAAACCGGUGUAAGCCAGGUUGGUUUCUAUCUUUAAAUAAAUUAAAUAUUUUAGUACGAAAGGAUUGAAUAUUUAAAAUAAUUUUUAAUUUUAGAAUUUUAUUAAUUUGAUUAUAGAAUUAAAAUUUUUAUUUUAUUAAUAUAU